AACGAACGCUGGCGGCAUGCCUAACACAUGCAAGUCGAACGAGACCUUCGUGUCUACUGGCUCACGGGUGCGUAACGCGUUGGAACCUGCCUUAGUUUUGGGAUAACUCAUUGUAAUUUGAGCUAAUACCCGGUGAUUUCUUCCGGCCAAAGACUUAUUUCCUUUGGAUGGUCGCGCGGUUGUUUGGGUAGUUGGUGAGGUAAAGGCCUACCAACGCGUCGGUCCGUUGCUGGUCUGAGAGGGUGAUAAGCCACACUGGGACUGAGACACUGCCCAGACCCCUACGGGAGGCAGCAGUAGGGAAUACUGGAGAAUGGGCGAAAGCCUGAUCAAGCAAUGCCGCGUAAGUGAGCAAGGCGUUAGGGUUGUACAGCUCUUUUACACGAGAUGAUAAUGACAGUAUCGGGAGAAUAAGCUCCGGCUAACUCCGUG
This 432-nucleotide ribosomal RNA is filed under the name uncultured bacterium. RNAcentral's name for it is "partial 16S ribosomal RNA". It matches the Rfam family "Bacterial small subunit ribosomal RNA", at positions 29 to 507 of the family's 1533-position model. The record is from RNAcentral.